UUCAGAAUCUUGCGCAAUGGGGGAAACCCUGACGCAGCGACGCCGCGUGGACGAUGAAGGCCUUCGGGUUGUAAAGUCCGAUAAGCGGGGAAGAAUAAGCAACGGGUAAUAUUCGUUGCGAUGACGGUACCUGCCUAAAGCCCCGGCUAACUACGUGCCAGCAGCCGCGGUAAUACGUAUGGGGCUAGCGUUGUUCGGAAUUAUUGGGCGUAAAGGGCGUCUAGGCGGGGGAUUAAGUUAGGUGUGAAAUCCAUAGGCUCAACCUGUGAACUGCACUUGAUACUGAUUCUCUUGAGUUCGGGAGAGGAGAGCGGAAUUCCCGGUGUAGCGGUGAAAUGCGUAGAUAUCGGGAAGAACACCAGUGGCGAAGGCGGCUCUCUGGCCUAGAACUGACGCUAAGGCGCGAAAGCGUGGGGAGCGAACG
Molecule: ribosomal RNA, 424 nt
Filed under: uncultured prokaryote
Description: bacterial SSU rRNA
Rfam family: Bacterial small subunit ribosomal RNA
Source: RNAcentral